AUUGAACGCUGGCGGCAGGCCUAACACAUGCAAGUCGAACGAGUGGCGGACGGGUGAGUAAUGUCUGGGAAACUGCCAGAUGGUGGGGGAUAACUACUGGAUACGGUAGCUACUACCGCAUACCAUCAGAUCUGCCCAGAUGGGAUUAGCUAGUUGGUGGGGUAACGGCGCACUAAGGCGACGAUCCCUAGCUGGUCUGAGAGGAUGACGAGCGACGCGUGAGAUGUGUCACUGUCAAGAAUCCUAUGGGAGGCAGCAGGGGGGAAUAUUGCACAACGGGCGAAGGCCAGAAGCAGCGAAGCCGCGUGGAUGAAGAGGGACAAAGGGUUUCAUAGUACUUUCAGCUUUGAGGGGUUACACGUAGAAGAAGAACCGGGUAACGCCGUGCUAGCAGCCGCGGUAAUAC
RNAcentral lists this ribosomal RNA (406 nucleotides) under uncultured bacterium. RNAcentral describes it as "partial 16S ribosomal RNA". It matches the Rfam family "Bacterial small subunit ribosomal RNA", at positions 30 to 526 of the family's 1533-position model. The record is from RNAcentral.